Molecule: ribosomal RNA, 254 nt
Filed under: uncultured bacterium
Lineage: Bacteria
Description: partial 16S ribosomal RNA
Rfam family: Bacterial small subunit ribosomal RNA
Source: RNAcentral
UACGUAGGGUGCGAGCGUUGUCCGGAAUUAUUGGGCGUAAAGAGCUCGUAGGCGGUGUGUCGCGUCGGCCGUGAAAACCUGGGGCUUAACUCUGGGCGUGCGGUCGAUACGGGCAUCACUAGAGUUCGGCAGGGGAGACUGGAAUUCCUGGUGUAGCGGUGAAAUGCGCAGAUAUCAGGAGGAACACCGGUGGCGAAGGCGGCAUCCUGGACCGACACUGACGCUGAUGAGCGAAAGCCAGGGGAGCAAACGGG